Molecule: ribosomal RNA, 1340 nt
Filed under: metagenome
Description: bacterial LSU rRNA
Rfam family: Bacterial large subunit ribosomal RNA
Source: RNAcentral
CCCUAUGCUGCCGAGAAAAGCCUCUAGCGAGCUGGUACAUGGCCCGUACCCCAAACCGACACAGGUGGUCAGGUAGAGAAUACUAAGGCGAUCGAGAGAACUGUGGUUAAGGAACUCGGCAAAAUGCCCCCGUAACUUCGGGAGAAGGGGGACCAGUCCUGGUGACGACAUUUACUGUCUGAGCUGGGGUUGGUCGCAGAGACCAGAGAGAAGCGACUGUUUACUAAAAACACAGGUCCGUGCGAAGUCGUAAGACGAUGUAUACGGACUGACGCCUGCCCGGUGCUGGAAGGUUAAGAGGACCGGUCAGCCACUUCGGUGGCGAAGCUGAGAAUUUAAGCCCCAGUAAACGGCGUGGUAACUAUAACCAUCCUAAGGUAGCGAAAUUCCUUGUCGGGUAAGUUCCGACCUGCACGAAUGGCGUAACGACUUCUCUGCUGUCUCAACCACAGACUCGGCGAAAUUGCAGUACGAGUAAAGAUGCUCGUUACGCGCGGCAGGACGAAAAGACCCCGGGACCUUCACUAUAGCUUGGUAUUGGUGUUCGGUUCGGUUUGUGUAGGAUAGGUGGGAGACUGUGAAACUCGCACGCCAGUGUGGGUGGAGUCAUUGUUGAAAUACCACUCUGACCGUAUUGGACAUCUAACCUCGGACCAUGAUCUGGUUCAGGGACAGUGCCUGGUGGGUAGUUUAACUGGGGCGGUUGCCUCCCAAAAAGUAACGGAGGCGCCCAAAGGUUCCCUCAGCCUGGUUGGCAAUCAGGUGUUGGGUGUAAGUGCACAAGGGAGCUUGACUGUGAGACGUACAUGUCGAGCAGGGACGAAAGUCGGGACUAGUGAUCCGGCACCGGCAAGUGGAAGCGGUGUCGCUCAACGGAUAAAAGGUACCCCGGGGAUAACAGGCUGAUCUUCCCCAAGAGUCCAUAUCGACGGGAUGGUUUGGCACCUCGAUGUCGGCUCGUCGCAUCCUGGGGCUGGAGUAGGUCCCAAGGGUUGGGCUGUUCGCCCAUUAAAGCGGCACGCGAGCUGGGUUUAGAACGUCGUGAGACAGUUCGGUCUCUAUCCGCCGCGCGCGUAAGAAACUUGAGGAAACCUGUCCCUAGUACGAGAGGACCGGGACGGACGAACCUCUGGUGCGCCAGUUGUUCCACCAGGAGCACCGCUGGUUAGCUACGUUCGGAAGGGAUAACCGCUGAAAGCAUCUAAGCGGGAAGCCUGUUCCAAGAUGAGGUUUCUCACCACCUAGCGUGGUUAAGGCCCCCCACAGACCAUGGGGUUGAUAGGCCAGAACUGUAAGCACAGCAAUGUGUUCAGGUGACUGGUACUAAUCGGCCGAGGACU